This 253-nucleotide ribosomal RNA is filed under the name uncultured bacterium. RNAcentral describes it as "partial 16S ribosomal RNA". It matches the Rfam family "Bacterial small subunit ribosomal RNA", at positions 524 to 776 of the family's 1533-position model. The record is from RNAcentral.
UACGGAGGGGGCUAGCGUUGUUCGGAAUUACUGGGCGUAAAGCGUACGUAGGCGGCUUUGUAAGUUAGAGGUGAAAGCCCGGGGCUCAACUCCGGAAUUGCCUUUAAGACUGCAUCGCUUGAAUCAUGGAGAGGUUAGUGGAAUUCCGAGUGUAGAGGUGAAAUUCGUAGAUAUUCGCAAGAACACCAGUGGCGAAGGCGGCUCACUGGCCCGAUACUGACGCUGAGGCACGAAAGCGUGGGGAGCAAACAGG